Molecule: long non-coding RNA, 410 nt
Organism: Homarus americanus (American lobster)
Lineage: Eukaryota; Metazoa; Arthropoda; Malacostraca; Decapoda; Nephropidae
Exons: 3
Source: RefSeq, a predicted model, not a curated record
ACUGGGACUCAGCAGCUAAGACUUACGCCCCACCACCACCCACCACCCAGGAUUCCUCCUCCACACCGCCACCGGCGACCUCACUAUGACCACAGACACACCUGACGGCCGAUACGACCUUAGUUUUAAGGUCAGUGACGCCAGCCAGGGACAGUUUGGGGUCAGAGCCAACGUGACAGUCAAGGUCAAAUCCCUGAACCAGUUUGACCUUGCGUACGCGACUCCUCUCACUCUGGUGGCUGACCCAUACCACCUGGUCAAGGAGGAAGAGGGAGAACUCUCUGUGUUAGGUCUCUGAAGCCACCGUACAGGCGUGGGUGGAAGGCUUCAGCGUAGGCGUGCGGGCGGUGUCGGUGGAACCUCUAGAGGGACUCCACCACACCCACGCUCAUCCUCGCCCAUCACCACCA